This 254-nucleotide ribosomal RNA is filed under the name uncultured bacterium. Its description in RNAcentral is "partial 16S ribosomal RNA". It matches the Rfam family "Bacterial small subunit ribosomal RNA", at positions 524 to 776 of the family's 1533-position model. The record is from RNAcentral.
CACGUAGGGGGCGAGCGUUGUCCGGAUUUAUUGGGCGUAAAGAGCUCGUAGGCGGUUUCGUAAGUCGGAUGUGAAAACUCCAGGCUCAACUUGGAGACGCCAUUCGAUACUGCGAUGACUUGAGUCCGGUAGGGGAGUGUGGAAUUCCCGGUGUAGCGGUGAAAUGCGCAGAGAUCGGGAGGAACAUCAGUUGCGAAGGCGGCUCUCUGGACCAGCACUGACACUGAGGCACGAAAGCGUGGGGAGCAAACAGG